GGCAAGUCUUUCCUAUGUUGUUCUGGUAAUAGUGAGUAAGUCUCACAAGAUCUGAUGGUUUUAAAAAGGGGAGUUUGCUUGUACAAGCUCUCUUCUCUUGUCUGCCACCAUGUGAGACAUGCCUUUCACCUUCCACCAUGAUUGUGAGACCUCAGAACUGUGUGACAACUGAUGAUGACAACCGAACAGGGUACCCCAGGAGUGGAUGAGUGUUACAAUCAUCAAGCCGCACUGCAUUCUCAGUAAUUUCACUGUCACUAUGAUUUUCACUGCCUGGGAUGCUAACGAUUUCUGAUGCCAGUAGGCCAACUAGGCUGUGAGGAAACCACUGUGCUCAGUAGUAUUUGGUAAGAAUUUGUGUGAGAUUUUUCAGAAAGCAAAUGGAGACUUCCCAGAGACAAGCAAAUUUUAAACUACUGAGACUCUAAAGAAGACAUUUAACAUUAGUAAAAAUGACUUCAGUAGAAGGGAGAUGGAAGAAAUAAAUAUGAGGCUUCAUUAGCUCAAUGAAAAAUGGCCAGAACUUGCAGAAGAAAACAAUGAUUUGAGAAAGUGAAACUCAUAAUAUUUGGCCCUUAUUAUAAUUUUCUUCUAUUCAUAUUUAGUUUUAUUUAAGCCCAUAAUCAAGAAAAGAAAGACUUUCCUUGAAAUUUGAAACUGGAAUCAGAAUGGAAAAAAAAUGCGAAGAAAAGAAAUGGGCCUGGACUUUGAAGAAAUGUGGUUUCCAGAUAGGACUGCUAUUCCUAAAAAGUCAUGCCAUGCGACAGCAAGUGGACUAGUUACUUGGAAUCGAUAAUAACAGCAAAAGAGGCAAAACAGGAAAACUUAAAUAGCAAAGGUGAAAGCACUGUCAGCAAUGUGAAGUGUGACUUCAUCUUGGAGAAGAGUCAAAGCAAAGCAGAUGACCAAAUUUGUGAUCAUUUUCUAUAAGAGUUAUGAACUGAAUUAUAUCUCCCCUAAAAUAUAUAUAUUGAAGUCCUAAACCCCAAUAACUCAGAAUAUGAGCUUAUUAGGACAUACGAUUGUUGCAAACACAAUUCAUUAAAUGAAGAUGAGAUCAUACUGUUGUAAGAUGGGCUCCUAAUCCAAUAUGAUUAGUGUCCUUAGAAGAAGAAAAGCAUGCUGGGAGAAGUCCAUGUGAAGAUGAAGGCAGAGAUGAGGGUGACUGAGGAAAAAAAGGAAUGCAAAGAUUGCUCACAAACCACCAAAAGCUAGAACAGAGGUCCGGGACAGAUCUUUCCCUAGCCCCAUCAGAGGGAGCAACGCCCUGCUAACACCUUAAUCUUGGCCUUCUAGCCUCCAAAAUUAUGAGAAAAUAACAAUUUCUGAUGUUUAAAUGAUUCUGUGUGUUGUAUUGAUACAGCUACCCUGGGAAACUGAUACAAUAAUCAUGAUAUACUGAUUUUCAAAAGUAUUAUAUUUACUGUUUUGACGAAUGCAAUCUACAUGCCAAGUUGCCUUUGGGAAAACAGGUAAAAGAGUGGCAGAGAAGCUGUGGUGCAAGUGGGAAGCAAUACCAAGAAACAGGAACAAAGAAUAAAAUUAUAAUCUCAGUGGUUCUCAUUCAAAGUCACCCAGGCUCAUUUCUUAAUCACUCACCUAUUUUUAAUUUCUAUAUGUGGUUCUCCUUGCCCUCUCCCAGGGGGCCACAUUUCUCACCUCAGUAGUACUUGAGAUUUUCAUCAUAGGUCCAACCUGCCCAAGAUAAAGUGAGUACCCAGUAUGUACAACUAUUAUUUCCCUGAUUGAAUAGUCCAACAUGAAAAAUACGGCUUCAUAAGGAACCAAUAUGAGCCUUUGAUGCAACAAUUUGAAAUGGGCCUAAGUCUUGCCACUAUUAAUACUUACUUGAUGUGCAUUAAUUACCUUCCUCAAAUGGCAUAAAAAAACUCAGAGCUUAUAUAAAUAUCACAACAUUCUCAGGCAGUGAACCUUUUUAAAUACAUUAGACUUACAGAAUAUAAUAGAUGGAAAGAAGAAAAUUGGCUCAUAAUUGUACGAUUACAUAGAAAGUGUCUUUUAGGAGCAAUUGCUCCAUUUUCAGGUUUUAGUUUGCCAGAUUUGCAAUUUUUUCUCUUAGGGGAGGUACAUGGUGAAAUUUCAGAUGAAAUGGCGGGCUUAAAAGAAAUCAAGUGACCCAAUUGAUGAUCCUACAUUAGGAAAAUUACUCCUACACUUUCACUCCAUUAUGGUCAGUUUCUCAACAGGAAAAUCUGAGGCAGAGGGCAAGUGCCAUUGCUUUUGCAAAGUACUUCCCUGAAUUGUAUUAUUUCAGAGAUUGUGUUUCUGGUUCAACUUCCUUAUGUUACAGAUGAGGAAACGCUAAGAUUUUUUGGUGUUUUUAUAUGCCUUAAUCAAGGUCACUCAGGGAGUAACAAACAAAGUGAGAACACCAGUUUUUCUUAUACCUGUCUAACACAUGAUCAUCAGAGCAAAAUAUGUCACCAGUAACGGUGAUGGCACCAUUACUGGUAUUGUCACACUCUUAUUCUGUUCCCUCUAAAGUCAUUGACAUGAAAAUGCUGAAGAUAUUAAAAGCAAAAAUAAGUACUUUUCCUCACUGCAUCUUAAAGGGAUGUCCACUACUUCCCAAGUUCUUAAAUUAUGCAACAGAUAAUCAUGUGGGCUACAGAUUCACUGUUGUCCAAGUCAUCUGAACUUUCACAUAUUACCUGUGCCCUACAACCUGUAUUUCAACACUUAGUUCAAACAUAAAUAACUAUGAUAAGUGUUGUCAACUUACUUCAGAAGUAGGUUUCCAGUUAUAAUUUUGCAUUUUUGUUAAGUCUUUUACAUUUUUAUUAUUCUGUUUCUUUGUCUUAUUCUAAAGCAUAUUUAAUGGUAUGAUAUCAAGUAGUAUAAAUAUUAAUAGCAAUAGUAAAGUGUGAUACCUCAACCCAAUAAGGCUUGACAAACAUAAGAUAUAGAAAUAUAAUGUUGCUUGAUCAUUUUGGUCUUAUAUGUGUUUAAUAAUUUUUAUUUCUGUCCAGUUUUUUAAGCACUUGAAGCACAGAAAUGAGUUGUUUUAGUGUCACCCAUAAUUAGCUGUAACUUGUGUCACAACUCAACAGAAAUUAAGAUACUAUCCAAAGGGUUCUGUUCACCGUAUUGUGCAUAUUAUAAGCACUGGAGGAUUGAUUGUAUUUUAGGUAUUUGUUUCAUUUCAUUACAUCUUUUAUCUAGAGACUUUGUGAUGAUAAAAUAAAGGAUUGACAUACUAUAGACCUGUUUACUACAAACUAUAGAUGAUGAUCGGUAUGUCUUCUGAUUAUAUAUUUUUAAUUGUCAUCUCAUUCAGGAAUUAACAGAUUCAAUUUUCCAUGCAUAACAUAAAGACUAGUCUAUGGUGUGUCACUUGGAAGUAGUGAAGUGGUAAAAUCCAGCAAAGAGACCAAAAGGCGUGAAGGAGUUACAUUGAUACAACUUAGGGAAAAAUUCUUACAGAUCAACUAGAACUUGUGGAGAAAGACAGAUAAAUCAAGAACUAUGGAUUGACUUGCAAUCUUUUUAACACAAGAGUAAAAAGAGCCCAAAUUAAGAGGAAAUUUGAGUUAGAGUGAAUUAGAGUUAGAGUUUGAGCUAGAGCUAAAGUUAGAACUAGUGUUAGAGCUGGAGUUUGUGUGGAGUUAGGAUUAGAGGUCUAGGUCAAAUCUACCCUGCUUCUGUUCACUUUCAGAUGCCAGAGACUAGAAAAACCACAAGUCAGAAACAACCAGUCUCUAGACAAAACACUAUAGGUAAUACAUACAAGUUAAAUCCAGAUCUCACUUUUCAGUAGCUUGCUGUUCACCACUAGGGUUCUAAGUAUCAGUAUAUUUAUCUCUAACAAACAUGACAGCUGCUAGUUUCUUGCCCCUUUAGAAAUGGUGUUGCUUCCUGACAGCCUCACCCUGGACACUGCAUGGGCCUGUCCUCUGGUCUGUCUUUGCUCUGAGUACACUGGGCAGCUGUCUCAUUGUUGGAGAUUUUUGCAUCAUUUCAUCAAUGUUGUACCUACACUAAAAGAAGAAAAAUAGCAUAUAGUUGGGUUGGAGGAUGUGCUUUGGAUGUUCUCUGUAGAAAAAUGAUCCCCUGGCAGUCAUGGUGGUGACCCAUACCUGUAAUCCCAGCACUUUGGGAGGCUGAGCGGGCAGAUGACGAGGUCAGGAGAUCGAGACCAUCCUGGCUAACACGAUGAAACCCCGUCUCUACUAAAAAUACAAAAAAUUAGCCAGGCAUGGUGGCAGGCUCUAGUAGUCCCAGCUACUCGGGAGGCUGAGGAAUGUCAAUGUCACGAAAGGCAAAGAAAGACUAAGGAACUUUUCCAGAUUGAAGGAGACUAAACAGACAUGACAUCUAAAUUUGAUAUGUGGUCUUGGACCUUAUUCUUGAAGGUACAAAGGUAUAGAAGAUAUUACUGGGACAAAAAUCAGAUUAUGACUCAUAGAAUUAAGUACCAGUGUUAAAUUUUUAUACUAGAUAACUAUACAGUCCUUUUGUAAGAGAAUAUCCAUGUUCCUAGGAAAUACUGACAUGUUACGGGACAAAAGACUAUGAUGCACAAAAACUGCUCCCAAAUAUAUUCUUUUGGAAGAGUUAAAUUGUUUUUGAAAUUCUUGGAUGUAGGCGGAUUUAACAGACAUUAUGAGAUUUUGUGUCUAUUUUUGGUACACAUCUGAAUACAUUGUUUAUUUUAAGUUUUUAUGUUAAUCAGUUUCAAACUUUCAGAAAAAUUAUAAGAAUAAUACAGAAAUCUUAUACACACACACAUACACAAGGGGGAAAAAUCAAGUUUAAAGAAGAUUCUCCCUCUUUGGGUCAAUUAUACAGCAUUUAACAAAAACAUAAAUUCAUAUAGUUAUUUGGCCACUGAGAGAAUGAAAGAGACAUGUUCCCAAUAAAUAUCUAUCUGUUUGCCAUAUCAUCUGCAUCCAACAUUAAAAUUAGAGUGGAAAGUUGAGUGUAUUGAUAACUAUGCUUGCAUGGUAAGUUAUUCUUGUUGCACUAGAGUAUGACUGAACUUGUUAAGAGAAAACAAACAAGAACAGAUCUAUAAUGAAAAAGCUGUUUAUAACUCCUUCUGGAUAGGUAAAAUAUUCACUGUUAGACAGGGGUCACAGGUGUCAUUUCUUUGGAAAAUAAGGAGUAAAACAGAUAAAAGCAUCAUCCAUACUCAGCAGUACCUAAAUGUUCAUGAUCGUGUUAUUUCCAACUAAAUCUUCAUUUUUUUUUUGUCUUUCAUAUCCCACUUUGAAUCCUCCUGGUGGAACCCAGCUGAGCUCAGUCAGACAUGCAAGGUUGAAUGUGCCUGCCAGACAGGCUUAACUAUUUCCUAUGCAUCUUAGUAGAUACUAAAAAGCUACUAUAUUAAAAUUGUUGAUGAACAGGAAUUAAAAGCAUCCUUCCUCAGGUGUAAGCCAGCAUGUGAUAUUUCUGAAGAUGAGACGAUCUGGCAAUAAUCAUAAAUACUGAAGCUAUUGCUCAUAUAAGUUAGUGUACAUUGCCAGAAUGAAUUAUUUAGUGAAUUUUACUGAUGGAUACCUUAAAUAGCAUUCAGUUUAGACAGUGAUGUGCUUUCUAGUUAAGGAAAGCAUCUAAAACACAAACAUACUCAUGUUUUAACUACUAAAAUCCAAUAUACUACUUUGCAUUAACAAUCAUGUAUCUCAACCUUAAAAUUCACCUUCUCUGACUACUUGUUAAAAUCUAAUCCUGCACCACUUUUCUCAUGACUCUUUCUAAGAGGCCAUGAUUGUGUUUAUUAAAUAGUGGUAGCCUUACUCACAAGAGUAGCAGUGCUGUGGUGUGUCAAGAGACUGUCAAAACAUUUGGAGAAAUACAUUAUUUCUCUGGAUUUACAAAGGAAAAACAAAACAAAAUUUUUAGAAGAUAAAAUCAAUACAUUAAAUAGUUCAAUGCAAAACAUAUAUAAUGUUUUUACCCAUAUAUGUUGAUGUGAUUAUGAUGAUGAUAACUUUCCUGCUAUGAAGUUCAUUGAUCCCAAACAAUGAAAUUCAAUUACACCUAAUUUCGGAACAAAAAGAACCUACUGAAUUAGACACAGUAACUAACAGAAUUGAGGGAGAAGAGGAAAUGAGGAAGAGACGAGCCUUAAGAAGGAGUAAAGUUAGAGAACCAGGACUCCAAAGAGUAGUGACUAAAAGUCUCUUCAGUAUUCUUUCAUCUGAAUGACUAAGCUAAGUUUAAAGGAGAAAAGAAAAGAUAAUGUGAACAGUUUAGCUAUUCUCAAGUAAAGGAUCUUAGGCCGGGCGCGGUGGCUCAUGCCUAUAAUCCCAGCACUUUGGGAGGCCAAGGCGGGCGGAUCACGAGGUCAGGAAAUCUAGACCAUCCCGGCUAACACAGUGAAACCCCGUCUCUACUAAAAAUACAGAAACUUAGCCGGGCGUUGUGGCGGGCGCCCGUAGUCCCAGCUACUCGGGAGGCUGAGGCAGGAGAAUGGCGUGAACCUGGGAGGCGGAGCUUGCAGUGAGCCAAGAUAGACCCACUGCACUCCAGCCUGGGCAACAGAGCGAGAUUCCGUCUCAGAAAAAAAAAAAAAAUGGAUCUUAGAUCAACGAGGAAUGAGACUUAUUCUGAGUUAUAUUCGGAAGGAAGAAUAUAACUCAGUGGGGAAAUGUUUGUCCAAUGACAUUCCUUUCAACUCAGUAACAAUUAGAAUCACUCUUAAAAGAGGUCAAGGCCAGGCUCGGUGGCUCACACUGUAAUCCUAGCACUGUUGGAGGCCGAGGUCGGUGGAUCACUUGAGGUUAGGAGUCUGAGACCAGCCUGGCAACAUGGUGAAACCCCAUCUCUACUAAAAACACAAAAAUUAGCCAGGUGUGGUGGCGCAUGCCUGUAAUACCAGCUACUCAGGAGGCUGAGGCAGGAAAAUUCCUUGAACUGGGAGGCAGAAGUUGUGAUGAGUGGAGAUCACAUCACUUCACUCCAGUCUGAGUGACGGAGACUCCAUCUCAAAAAAAAGAGGUCAAAACACUCUUCAUAGAUGUGUCCAGAGAGCAACUAGGUGACCACCAUGUAAUCCAUCAGGCAUGGAUCAAAGGUAAUCCCUAUCUUGGUUGUCAGUUGACCAGGUGACUUCCCAGACCCUUUUCAACUUAAGAUUCUGUGAUUUCCCCCUGAAGACAAAAUAAUUUUCUGUCUCAAAAAAUAUUUUGCCUAGGAAAUAUGUCCAAAGCCCAAAUGUAGAUGCUUAAAGGGUUCUUUCUCUUAUUUCAAAAGAUAUUAUUCUAGAAUUUAAAAAAUACUAUUAACUUUCAAAAUUCCCAAUUAGUCUAGAAUUUCUCCAUUUAAAACCCAAAGCUGGGUGUAUUUUAUUAGUGUACUUUUUCUUCGAAUUGCUCUGCUUAUUAGUAUUAAUUGCCAACUGCAGAACAUCUGAGUACCCGGGCCUGAAACUGUGGAUUUGGAGUAUGUUAAAACUACGUGUUAGACAUAUAUUAUAAUAAUUAAUCUCUAAAAGUGUGGUUAUUUUAAAUUAAAUUAUUUUUGCACAUAACCAAAUAGAUUCUAUGGUACAGUUUUAAUAAAGGUCUAUCCUCUUUCUGAAAAAGCUUUUAUCAUCUCGCCUUUAGAGUCUUCUUCAAUAUAAAUUGUGCAAGAGAUUAACAAAGAUUAUAUAUUUAAAAAUUCUGUGCAAGUAUUUUGAUAUGUACUUCCAGUGAGAAAAUAUACAUUUAUCAAAAGAAAUCUUCUCUAUGGCAAAAUAAAUGUAAGCACUUAUUUGUAGCUCAUUGGCUUAUACUAUUUACAAACAAAAAAGCUCAACUGUUUCUGCCUCACAGAGAUACACAUGUGCACACAAACACACACACACAGAGAGAGAGAGAGAGAAAGAGAGAGAGAGUAAUAUACUGGGUGACUAAACAUGAAAGUUUUACUAAAUAUCAAGUAAAAGUCAAGAAAUUAAUCAAAGCAUACAAUUAAUGAAGAUUGGCUCCAAGAACUAAGAGUUUCUAGAGAACUAGUAGAAAGAAAACAUACAAGUUAGUUGUAAAAUUAAAAGACAACGUUGACCUUAAUGUUCUCAUUUUAAAAUAAAAAUGUGGCCAGAUUGGUAGAAAUAAUAAAUGGAGGAAAGGGUGUAAAAUUCAUUAGAAAUUUUCUCAAAGGAGGUGGCAAGAUUUCUUUGAAAAAUCAAGCUCCUAACAGAGUAUGGGAGAUUUUCUUUAUUUUUAGUUCAAAAUCUGUUAUGAAGAAAGAG
RNAcentral lists this long non-coding RNA (8200 nucleotides) under Homo sapiens (human). RNAcentral's name for it is "HSALNT0071081". Lineage: Eukaryota; Metazoa; Chordata; Mammalia; Primates; Hominidae. The record is from RNAcentral.